GUUGAAGCUACCUGAAGAAGCCACAUGAGGUGCUAUGUUUGAUGACCUCAGCUGACCUGACAUCCUCCUGAGUUGGCUUUAACUGACAACUGGUAUCUACUGCUACUCCUGCGAAUGCGUCAUCUUUGUCCAGCCUAUUCUGUCUAAAGAUACAGUGAUAAAAAUUAUUCAAUCUAUGGUGAACAAGGAGCCUCGUGUGAAACUCAGAAGACUCACGGGCUACCCUCCGAGCAUGAAUUUUCCUUCCUGGAUCUAAAGUGACAUCACAACUUACACCCUAAAGAAUGAGAAAACAGACACAACAUUCAUCCUUUAAGAAUGAGCUUGAGAAUUCCUGGAGCAUAGGAAGAAAUCGGCCAUCUUUCUGCACUGCCCACCAUCCCUGCCGUAGCGCUGGACACACCGUGACCCUGCAUAAACCAGCGAGUUUAAAGCAAUCAAAGGCACAUAAGAAGUACAGAUUCAUGCAAGAAUUCAAAGCCAUCUACACAGAAAACCUG
Molecule: non-coding RNA, 500 nt
Organism: Heterocephalus glaber (naked mole-rat)
Lineage: Eukaryota; Metazoa; Chordata; Mammalia; Rodentia; Bathyergidae
Source: RefSeq, a predicted model, not a curated record